This 52-nucleotide small RNA is filed under the name Sinorhizobium meliloti 2011. Its description in RNAcentral is "putative ncRNA". Lineage: Bacteria; Pseudomonadati; Pseudomonadota; Alphaproteobacteria; Hyphomicrobiales; Rhizobiaceae. The record is from RNAcentral.
AUUCAUCGGCACCUAGGCCCGCGCGGCCCAAGCCGCUGACGAUGCCGAACGU